UUCAAAUAAAACACAUAAAUCUUAUCCUCUUCUUCUUCUUCCCCACAAAAAGAUAACCGGCGAACAUCCUAACCCUUCCUUGUCCUCUGCCCUGCUGUUGCUAAGCCUUCCGCCCCAUCCACGACCGCUCCAACUAUAGACAAUUAUUUUGAUUCUCCUUUCAAUUUUAAGAAAAAAAAAAAUGGAAAUGUAUGAGCUUGUCAUUGCCGGUUUUGAUUUCGACUCCAAUCAUCAAGAAAAAAGCUUGGAAACGUUCGGUUGGACUACAAAUAGGCAGAUAUUCUGACAUCAAUUUCGUAUUUGGAACAAACAAUCCAAUGGUGUUGUAUUCGGUCGAUCUAGCCCAGUCAGUUGUCCAACUAAUAGCCAAGAAAAUGAGAGCAAGCACAAUUCUGUACCUGGUUUUGUUGCAACUGAAGGAUAGAGCUAGCAAGGCCACUACCAAUAGAACCGGAAAUGGAGCACAACCAGUUUGGGGAUGAAGACGAUAGAGCUCAACUGUGAUUGGGGUUAGGAGGUUGAGAGAAGGGUAUAUCAUGUACUUUACAUUUUAUGAGGUAUUUUGGUAUUUAAUAAAAAAUAAAUUAGUUGAUAUCAGCACUUAAGGUAUAUUCCCUAAUAGAGACUGACGGUAAGGGGCUCGAGCAUAAUUGUCAGUUAUGCAAAUGGUCAUUUUGUUAAUAGUGGUAUUCUCAAGAGUGCAUAUACUUCUGCUAACUUCUUCUUGAC
Molecule: long non-coding RNA, 729 nt
Organism: Macadamia integrifolia
Lineage: Eukaryota; Viridiplantae; Streptophyta; Magnoliopsida; Proteales; Proteaceae
Exons: 3
Source: RefSeq, a predicted model, not a curated record